This 486-nucleotide ribosomal RNA is filed under the name uncultured bacterium. Its description in RNAcentral is "partial 16S ribosomal RNA". It matches the Rfam family "Bacterial small subunit ribosomal RNA", at positions 30 to 507 of the family's 1533-position model. The record is from RNAcentral.
AUUGAACGCUGGCGGCAUGCCUUACACAUGCAAGUCGAACGGCAGCACGGGUGCUUGCACCUGGUGGCGAGUGGCGAACGGGUGAGUAAUACAUCGGAACAUGUCCUGUAGUGGGGGAUAGCCCGGCGAAAGCCGGAUUAAUACCGCAUACGAUCUACGGAUGAAAGCGGGGGCCCUUCGGGCCUCGCGCUAUAGGGUUGGCCGAUGGCUGAUUAUCUAGUUGGUGGGGUAAAGGCCUACCAAGGCGACGAUCAGUAGCUGGUCUGAGAGAACGACCAGCCACACUGGGACUGAGACACGGCCCAGACUCCUACGGGAGGCAGCAGUGGGGAAUUUUGGACAAUGGGCGAAAGCCUGAUCCAGCAAUGACGCGUGUGUGAAGAAGGCCUUCGGGUUGUAAAGCACUUUUGUCCGGAAAGAAAUCCUUGGCCCUAAUACGGUCGGGGGAUGACGGUACCGGAAGAAUAAGCACCGGCUAACUACGUG